AGGGAAUAUUGCAAAAUGGGCGAAAGCCCGAUGCAGCAACGCCGCGUGGGCGAUGAAGGCCUUCGGGUCGUAAAGCCCUUUUUGAGGGGAUGAGGAAGGACAGUACCCUCAGAAUAAGCCUCGGCUAACUACGUGCCAGCAGCCGCGGUAAAACGUAGGAGGCGAGCGUUAUCCGGAUUUACUGGGCGUAAAGCGCGUGCAGGCGGAUUGGAGAGUUGGAUGUGAAAGCUCCCGGCUUAACUGGGAGAGGUCGUUCAAUACUUCCAAUCUUGAGUGCAGUAGAGGGAAGUGGAAUUCCGGGUGUAGUGGUGGAAUGCGUAGAUAUCCGGAGGAACACCAGUGGCGAAAGCGGCUUCCUGGACUGUAACUGACGCUCAGACGCGAAAGCUAGGGUAGCAAACG
This 402-nucleotide ribosomal RNA is filed under the name uncultured bacterium. RNAcentral's name for it is "bacterial SSU rRNA". It matches the Rfam family "Bacterial small subunit ribosomal RNA", at positions 356 to 774 of the family's 1533-position model. The record is from RNAcentral.